CUAAGAUCCUGUCAUGGGCUACUCCCGGCUCCAGGACCUCAGUGCUUGGUUGGGUCCCCAGGUCCCACUAUGUCCCACAACCGACUCGAGCCACCACCAGAGUUAUCGCUUCUGAUAGAUUCCUUUGCUCUUUAAUUCUGACAGAGUGAGGCACUUUUUUGUGUUUAGAACUCAUAAGUGAAAAAUGGAAAUGCUCUCAAGUAUGGAACUGUGGAGAGAAGACUGGAACCAGCUAUUGAGCUGUGUCUGGCAGUAUAUAAACACGUGAGAGGAACUGCAUCCGGCUGAACUUAAUGCCACUCUGGACCAUCACAGCCACCCUUCGCUGCCAGCCAGGCUUCAUUCACAAGGACUGGUUUCUCUCUGUGUUCAUGGGUGCCUGUGUUCUCCUAGACUUCAGGGAAAGCAGAAGUAAAAACCUUAGCUCAUGUAUGCUACAGACAGUCUACAACCACGAAGCAGAGAAGACCAGUGCAUGGGAAUAAGAGAUGUUUGCAAACCCUGAUGGGGUCUUCUGGAGCUGAGACAGCAUCUACAGAGAAAAUGUACACCUGCGGCAAAUAGGAUUCAGAUGGAACGAAGAUAUGUACCAGCUAUAUGUAGCAAGAGUAAGAAAAGAAGGCUGCAGAGUCUAUGGUUACCUAAGUCCUAACAGGAAUGUAAACCAAGAGUGAGAGUGUGAAAGAAGGAACACUCUUAUUCCCACAUCAGAGACAAACUGGUCCCUGAAGCCACCCAUGGAGAAAGAGGUGAAGGCAGCCAGAUUAAAUGACAAGAAACUGAACUAAAGCCAGGCCAGCUGAAUUCCUCGAAGUCAGAAAUAGCAACAUACAUCCUCAAGAAGGAGUCAGUCAGUGCAGGAGCCUGGGCUGUCCUGAAAAAGGGAACAGUAAGAUCCAAAGCAAACCAUCACCCAGCUGGGAGAGACUCAGGAUGAGUCUGGACUAAAAAUGGCAAAAUCUAGGAAAACAGCACACAAGAACUCUUCCACUGCUGUUUUCAAAAAUAGUAAAAGGAGAAAACAGAAGGUAUAUAUACAUCCUGACAAAGAAGAGGGAAAGGAGAAAAGAAACAGAGGACACUAGCACCAUUGAGGGAUGUUUUGAGUGUCUGCAGAAACCCAAGAAACCUGCUAACAGACUGGAACUGAAGCAAGGAGAGCAGAGCUUACUGACACAACGUCGACAAGAGAAUAAACCACAGCAGGAAAGAAACAUCCCAUCAGCAAACACACUUGGAUUACCCUGUAAAGGCUUACAGUGAUACUCUAGAGGUCCAGAACGGGAAAGCAACACAACAUGACUGGACACCAUUCUGAAGUUAUAUUUCAAAAUUGUUUUCUGUUUAUGAAAACCUCAUAUAAUUCCUGGCAUCCUCAUGGAGGCUCACAACUAUCUGCAACUCCAGUCUCAGGGAUCUAACGGCCUCUAACGGCCUCUUCUG
Molecule: long non-coding RNA, 1443 nt
Organism: Mastomys coucha (southern multimammate mouse)
Lineage: Eukaryota; Metazoa; Chordata; Mammalia; Rodentia; Muridae
Exons: 3
Source: RefSeq, a predicted model, not a curated record